Molecule: ribosomal RNA, 470 nt
Filed under: uncultured bacterium
Lineage: Bacteria
Description: bacterial SSU rRNA
Rfam family: Bacterial small subunit ribosomal RNA
Source: RNAcentral
UUCCCAGACUCCUACGGGAGGCAGCAGUGAGGAAUAUUGGUCAAUGGGCUUACGCCUGAACCAGCCAAGUCGCGUGAGGGAAGACUGCCCUAUGGGUUGUAAACCUCUUUUGUCAGGGAGCAAUUGGCGCUACGUGUAGCGUUAUCGAGAGUACCUGAAGAAAAAGCAUCGGCUAACUCCGUGCCAGCAGCCGCGGUAAUACGGAGGAUGCGAGCGUUAUCCGGAUUUAUUGGGUUUAAAGGGUGCGUAGGCGGGAUGCCAAGUCAGCGGUAAAAAUGCGGUGCUCAACGCCGUCGAGCCGUUGAAACUGGCGUUCUUGAGUGGGCGAGAAGUAUGCGGAAUGCGUGGUGUAGCGGUGAAAUGCAUAGAUAUCACGCAGAACUCCGAUUGCGAAGGCAGCAUACCGGCGCCCUACUGACGCUGAGGCACGAAAGCGUGGGGAUCGAACAGGAUUAGAUACCCCUGUAAGA